Chiloscyllium plagiosum (whitespotted bambooshark) is the source of this 1676-nucleotide long non-coding RNA. RefSeq lists it as uncharacterized. The record is from RefSeq and is a predicted model, not a curated record. Lineage: Eukaryota; Metazoa; Chordata; Chondrichthyes; Orectolobiformes; Hemiscylliidae.
UGUUACAUAGUUGUUGUGGUAACAUAAGGUGGAGUUACUAUCUACCUAUAAAAACCUUCAAGGUAAAGUUCAGCAGCUGAUUCUUGGCAACUGCACACAAGGGUCAAAUUCAUACCUGGGUUCUGUGGGCAAUUUCUAACAGAAAUUAGACCCAUCAGUUGUGAGUGGAAAAAGAAGAUACAAGAUGGUAUGAGUUAUUACUAAUGCCUGCCGAUAUGUGGCACGGAAGAUCUCUGCCCUUUGUGGCAGGAAGGAGGAAGAUCGAACGGUAUCUGUAUCAACUCCGGCUGCAGUCAGUCAGGCAAAGUAUCCGAAUGUAGAUCAUGGAAAAAUGCAAAUGCCAAUCCACAAAGAAAUGCCACGUUCUCGGCCUUUCAAUCAGCAAUGUGGCCCCUGAGGGUAAAGAAUGGCUCCUGUAAAGGGGCCUCAGCCACUUCAGUGUAUUUUGGAAAUGUGGCUAAUUUUCCAACAACAAACUGAAAGAGAAACUGUUGUUCUUGUACAGUGAUUGAUGAAGGCUUGUUCACAACCUCUCAUUGUAGAAAUGAACUUGUCUGAAGAUAUUUUACUUGUACCUCUAAAACAGCAGAAUUUAGAAAUGUCUACAUUGAUGCUAAUUUUCUGUUACCAGCUUAGUGUGAAAGCAUAAUGCCCUUAAUUAAAGAUUUGGUUUAUUUUCAAUCUCAUUGCUGGUAACAGUAGCACCAUUUCAACUCAGUUUAAAAUUAAUUCACAAGCCCUGCUACUCAUAGAUCAUACUUGCUUUAUUCAAUCUCCACUUUCCCUUCUGAUUUUCUUUGGUUGAAGUAAUGCUGACAUUUGAAAUCAGAAAAUUGACGUUUUAAAAACCACACCUACCAAAAUCUCCUCUAUAAAAUACAGUAGAGGUUUAAUGGGUUCCUUAGUAGUUAGUUGUAGAAACACUUCAAGCAAAUAUUUCUGUCACUAACCUGACUUGUUUUCUUGUCCUAUUAUAGCUUUCCUGGUUAAAGUCUAACCGUUAAAAUCAAGGUUCAUGUUUAAAACCACGAAUACAUUCUGGUCACCUACCCUGAACAGCAAUCUGUAUUUGAUUUGAUACUUUCCCCAAACUAAUAUAAAUAUCAGCUAUCACUACUACCUCAAAAAGCAGAAACAUUUCAAAAUACAGACUUCAAAUCCUUCUCUAUGCCCAAUGGCCAAAGUAAAUUACUACAUUUAGAAAGUUAUAAACAACAAAUGAAAAUCAUUGAAAAUGAAUUUUCUUGAUCUGAUCCAUCCAAGUUGACUUUGGCUUUUUGUAGAUGAUUACGGCAGAUAUUCAGCAAGAUAAGCACACUCCUUUAGCAAAUUAAAAUAUUCAUAUCAUAAUGAAAUAAGUUUAUGAAGAGGGUUCCAUGAUGCCCUAUAGAGUUGUGUUAAUUUGACAUUCUUGUAAUCCUAUUCCCAAAGUUAUGAACACUAACAGAUUCUGGUGGAAUUAAAUCUGUUAUGCUUACAAUGCUGAAUAUUGUACAAGACUGAAUGUUUGCUUGACAAAUUCUGUCAAAUAUUGAAUCCACUCUUUUGCUGCUAACCAUUGUAAUUCUAAUAUGUUUUGUUGCUUUCCAUCUUAAAUAUUUGCCAGCUCAAUGUGUAACAAAUGUAAUAACCAAAAACCAUACAAAUGAAAAUAAAAUGUGUUUCAAACCCUUGAA